UACAGAGGGUGCGAGCGUUAAUCGGAAUUACUGGGCGUAAAGCGUGCGUAGACGGUUAUGUAAGUCAGAUGUGAAAGCCCCGGGCUUAACCUGGGAAUGGCAUUUGAGACUGCGUAGCUAGGAUGCGGAAGAGGGAAGUGGAAUUUCCGGUGUAGCGGUGAAAUGCGUAGAUAUCGGAAGGAACAUCAGUGGCGAAAGCGACUUCCUGGUCCAGCAUCGACGUUCAGGCACGAAAGCGUGGGGAGCAAACAGG
Molecule: ribosomal RNA, 253 nt
Filed under: uncultured prokaryote
Description: partial 16S ribosomal RNA
Rfam family: Bacterial small subunit ribosomal RNA
Source: RNAcentral